UUUCGGAAUGUGCAUGCAUUCCUGCACUUUCGCUUGUGGUUGUCUUUCCUGAGGUGUAUACUCAAUCAUUAGAAAUGAAGCGAAAUAAUUGUUUCAGUGUGGAUAUUACUAAAGAGGCCUGCUUCCCCAGGAAGGAACUAAUCAUCAGUGGAAGGGAUUCCAAUCCUGAUCAUGAAAAAGAAAAGGAAAAUUUUCGCUUCGAGGUCAGUAUGUCAAUAAGAAAGUAGGAAGAUGUGAACUGACAACCUCUUCUGAAAAAGGAAUAAAAACGAAGGAAUCUA
Parasteatoda tepidariorum (common house spider) is the source of this 281-nucleotide non-coding RNA. The record is from RefSeq and is a predicted model, not a curated record. Lineage: Eukaryota; Metazoa; Arthropoda; Arachnida; Araneae; Theridiidae.